CGAAUUCGCAGCAGCAGUUAACAUUUUAUUCCAAUUUCACUCGAACCAAAGUAAUUCUUCUUUCUUGUAUUAAAAAAGGUCACACAGACUUUCCUAUAGUACACGUGGUUAUUUAAAAAUUGGUGACAAGAUGCUUUCAUAGGACUAAAAAGUACAAGUUAAUGACUAUGGCAUUUC
Molecule: long non-coding RNA, 177 nt
Organism: Bombus terrestris (buff-tailed bumblebee)
Lineage: Eukaryota; Metazoa; Arthropoda; Insecta; Hymenoptera; Apidae
Exons: 2
Source: RefSeq, a predicted model, not a curated record